AUUUGUAAUAACCUAGAAAUUAUAUAAAUAAAAAGAUAAAAUACUUCAUAAUCAUUACUGUCCAAUAAGCCAAUAAUAAACAUAAUAGCAAAAAAUUUUAACGCAAUCUCAUAAGUUUUACAGUUCAACACUUCAAAAGUUAAAGUUUCAAAAGUUGAUAACAAAAGAUUCCUAGAAUAUCGACGACAAUUCAAAGUACUUCUUAAGUAAGGUCUAGAUCUUCACUAUCUCCAUCUUCCCUUUAUUCCGUUACUCCACCUACAAAAGAGGAUAAAUAAAGUCAUCAUCCUUCAAAGGUUGGUUUACCAUUAUAAGAAUAGAUAUAGUCGAUGAACAAUGCAUAAAGCACAAAGUUUCCAGGAGAAAAAAAUAAGUUCACACAAAUGAAGAAUCCAAAGUUCAGUAACAAAUCAAAAUCAGCAAAACCAAACUUGUAAGAAUAUGCAUUCAGGCAAAUUGAGAGUUGUGUAGCCAACCAAACUAACAGUUUUCAACUUUUUGUUUUUUUGCAUGUAACAAUCUAGAAAAUAAUAGGUUGCUCUGGUGAGCACCCUCCACUUCCAACCAAGAUGUUGUGAGUUCGAGUCACCCCAAGAGCAAGGUGGGGAGUUCUUAGAGGAAGGGAGUCGAGGAUCUGUCGGAAACAGCCUCUCUACCCCAGGGUAAGGAAAAGGUCUGCGUACACACUACCCUCCCCAGACCCCACUAGUGGAAUUAUACUAGGUUGUUCUUGUUGUUAUUGCAUGUAGCAAUCUAAAGUGGAUACAUUCCAUGCGAAGCAUAGCAAAAACAAUCAAGAAAAAUACAUAUCGAAACAUAAUUUUUGCAAUAUUGACUUUUAAAAAAUAUUGCAACAUAGCUCAUAUCAGACUAACAAUGGACAACACGAAAAUGAAAGCUCAAUAUUAUCUAUUUGCCCAAAAGAAUUAUGAUAAUACUGGAAAGGGCACACUUUUUAACAAGCAUUAUCACUUCAACCAAACAUGAAUGAUCCAUUCAGACAUAUUUUGGAUUCUUGAACUUGUUCCACUUAACUGGGAGUAAAGAACAGGUAUAGCUAUAUAAGGUAGUAAAUUAUUUCAUUGUGCUAACAAUUUGCAAUUAGAUGGACAAACACAGUAUUCAUUCAUUAUCUUCCACGACUACAGCUUGCUAUGGACUUACAUUUUCAUCCAGCAACAAAAAAUAUUGUUGUGAUAUCAACCUACUGUAGUUGGGAUUAAGCCAAAUGAACAUAAGAGCAGCUUAUCUGUCAACUUCAACCCAUAAUUUCCAAACAUAAUACCUAAAGGUCACAAAAAUGCCAAAUUAAGGGAAUACAAACAGCAUAAAAUAACAUUUUAAUGAAAAAGGUGGCACAAGAACCAUACUUAGACUAACUCAAUAACAUUAGAAAAUGUUUCAGCUUUUAGCAGCUUUGCAGAAACAUAUGCAUUGAGUUAUUAGCAACUUUGCAGACCAAAUUCUCACCCAAAAUAAUAUAGAGAGCAGCUUCCAGUACAGGAAACCUAGAACCAUAUGCAUUCAGUAAAUAUCUUUCUUGGUACAAGUAAAUAGGCAAGAUUAUAAUAUCCAAACAAUACACAAAGUACUAUACAACAACAAAGAGCCGUCAAGGCAACCAAAAAAUUAUGCAACGACAAAGGUCUGGAGGCGAAGUUAAAAAAUGACUAGACUAACCAGAAUUAGCCGUCUUACUAACUUCCCUCUAAAAAAAAAUAGAACAGAGAGAGAGUAGUGGUAGAAAAGCAACAGAAGGAGGAGAAGAAGAAGAAGAAUAUGGAGAAGGAAGAAAGAAAGAAAAGAAGGGGUGUAACCAAAAAAAAAUACAACCAUGUUCUGACAAAACAAAAGUUAAAAUAAAUACUGAAAACUUGGCAAAGAGUAAACUUAUAUAAAGCUAAUAAGACCAUCAAAAAGCAGACAUCUUUAGGUAAAACUGACAUACCUUUUACCAAAAAAAGCCAAUUUCUUCAACAAAACUCUACCCACCCCACCCCCAUAUUUCCCUACAUAAUAGAAACUAAAAAUAAACACCUAAACAUCUGGUAAAAAUAAAGCUAAUAAGACCAUAAAAAUCUGAUUUUGCCGCUUCAAAAAUAACCCCCUAAAAAUAAGUAAUACAACAAAGUCUAGCCCCUUAAAUUUUCCGUUCCUCUUUUCUUGAAUAAUAUUACAGUCAAAGCAAGAAAUUAAAUACAUUGCUCACACCCUAAAGAUUAAAGGAAAAAUAAUGAUUAAAUAAGAAAAUACCCAAAUUAGAAAAGCAAAACUUACACCUAAAGUUAGUUUCUCACAGAGUGCCUUUAGGGUGGAACAUUUCUCGUGAUUGAAGUAGUUUUAUCACCUUUAAUCGUGCCUUUUAGAUUUUUCCUUUGUUCUUCUUUGAUGCCUUCUCUUCAUCGAAUAACAGAAAAGGAUUGAGACUUUGGGGAUUUGGAGAUUUUAGGUUAGGCCAGCGAUUUGAUUUGGGAAUUAGGGAUGUAGGGUUAGCCAUAGAUGGAAUUCUCAAGGUGAAAGGAAAGGGCAAUGAAAGGGGUAUUGAGAGAUUUGGAGGUAUCGAUGCCUUUGAGUUCAAGGGGGAGAUGAAUGGGUUUAUUGGGAGAUAGCUUUAGAGUUGUCG
RNAcentral lists this long non-coding RNA (2623 nucleotides) under Nicotiana tabacum (common tobacco). Its description in RNAcentral is "long non-coding RNA (NTAB_LNC001673)". The record is from RNAcentral. Lineage: Eukaryota; Viridiplantae; Streptophyta; Magnoliopsida; Solanales; Solanaceae.